This is a non-coding RNA of Gasterosteus aculeatus aculeatus (three-spined stickleback), 1909 nucleotides long. The record is from RefSeq and is a predicted model, not a curated record. NCBI's taxonomy places the organism in Eukaryota, Metazoa, Chordata, Actinopteri, Perciformes, Gasterosteidae.
UUUCUGCUGACUAACCCCCCCCCCACACAGCUACGCACACACACUGGGCACCAACAGAAGGUGAUGGGAGGAAGAAGGGAGGAGAAGGUGAGCUGCUGCUGCUGACGUUACUCGGCUCACAGGACUUGCCCGUAAAUGAACUCAUUUUUCAUCCUGUCUCUCUCCCUCCUCCCUCUCCUGUUAAUGACUGGCACUUUCCUCGUACGGAGCGCCGGCCCUCUGAAGAGCCUGGCGAGUGACAGAGCACCAUUCAUCUCCUCAUGGCGGAGGACAGUAGGGGGGGCCCGCUGAGGUGAGAGCCACGAUGAGACACAGAAUAUUCUACCAGGAGUUGGUGGGCCGUGUCAGAGGGAAAGAGUAAACCCCAGGAGCAUGAGGGGACAGGAAAGCGGUAUCAAUCACACAACCUUGUGCACGGCUGUAGCAGCAGUUUCAAUUAUGCAUCUGUUCCUCAGUGGCUGACAUUUUGUUCAACCUCUUACCCCCACCGAGGCAGAGAGGAAGUGCCCUGCCUGUUAUCUUCCCCCAAGUGCUUAAUUUAACUGUUAAAGCAUACCUGUCGCCAUUUACCUUAACUUUACAGUAUAUACUAUCUGCACAGACGGAACGUGAGCUUAAUCAUUGUCUGCAAAAGCUCAAUCACAGUUGCAGCCUAUGGCUACAACCAGCACUUGGCAGCAACUCAUGAUUUUCACUAUCAAAUCCUUUUCUAAUUAUUUUCAUGGUUAACUUGGUCCAGAAAAGUUUACAACCCCAUGAUAAUUUCCUAAAGUUGGAGGUGAUGUCAUGAAAUUGCUUGUCUGAAAAUAGAAGUUGUUUGUUUGGUGUAGAAAAUAAAAAGUAAAGAAGGGCAGUAUAUUUAGUAGCUUAAACAUGCAAAUCUUUAGCAACUGCUUGAAUAUAUUAUGUUUUGAGCAAAUAGACAAAACUAUUUAUUUUUUUAUUUUAACUUAAUUUAACUUAACUUAAUUUUAAUAAAUUGAUGUUUCAGAUACAGAUUAGAAGAACAAAAACCCCAUAUUUAAAAAUACAAAUGAAGUCAAUAGAGAAAAGGACAAUGAGUGCCAGAGUAACAAAAUAUGAGAUGUAAAAAAGCUAAUAUUUAAGUUGACUAACACACUGUGAUACUAAACCCAGAAAUAAAGUUCAGUCCAACUAUCUCUUACCUCGUAAUGCCACAGGCAGGCUCUGAAAUCCACCAAGGCUGGAGAGGAGUGUGAGCCCGAUACAGUGCAGGGAACAGAUAAACAGAUGCGAGACAAGUCCCAGGGGUGUCGGGUUCAUUUGUUACCUAGGGAGGACAGACGUAUUUCUGUCAGACAAGCCAUGGCAGCUCCAGAUGCCAGGUCAUUCUAGUUAUGGAGUGAAAAUCUUGGGUUAAGGACAAAUAUUCUCACUUCACACAAGAGACAGCCAUGGGGUUUUAUUUCCCCAGUGGCCCUCUACAAUAAACGCCCAUUCUGGCUCCAAGAAGCUUGAGCGCUUUUUUAAUAAAAACUGAAGCUUAUUCAUCAUGGUCUGUCUCUUGUUCAUUUACUUCAGAAUUAUGGCAGAGCAUUUAAUUUCAUGAUGUAUUCAGUACAUUUAAUGUUUGAUUUUAGCGAUCAUGAUUAAAAGGCUGUUUGCAACAUGUAUUAUUAAUUUUGGUUGUGGUUGAUUCAAGUCAUGCUAAAUUAUGCUGUUCAAAUUACAACUUGAAUUGAGGUAAUGUUAUGUCAAAUUUUGGGCAUUUUAUUACACAAAAACAUAGAUUACAACGUUGUUAUUUAAUCAUUUAUUUCAUUUAUUUUAUGUGGCCAUGACUUAAUUCCAAACACCUAAGGAUAUUAACCGGUUAGAAAAGUUUGAAAUUGCAAAAGAUGCAUCUAAUUUUUUUGUGUUUUAUGAUUUUUGUUCCUAGAUAUUCUUC